RNAcentral lists this ribosomal RNA (253 nucleotides) under uncultured bacterium. Its description in RNAcentral is "partial 16S ribosomal RNA". It matches the Rfam family "Bacterial small subunit ribosomal RNA", at positions 524 to 776 of the family's 1533-position model. The record is from RNAcentral.
UACGAGGGGGGCUAGUGUUGUUCGGAAUCACUGGGCGUAAAGGGCGCGUAGGCGGGAGCCUAAGUUGGGUGUUUAAUUCCGGGGCCCAACCCCGGGCAUGCACUCAAAACUGGGUUUCUUGAAUAGGGGAGAGGUCGGUGGAAUUGGAGGUGUAGCGGUGGAAUGCGUAGAGAUCUCCAAGAACACCCGUUGCGAAGGCGGCCGACUGGACCCAUAUUGACGCUGAGGCUCGAAAGCAUGGGGAGCAAACAGG